This is a non-coding RNA of Heterocephalus glaber (naked mole-rat), 72 nucleotides long. NCBI's taxonomy places the organism in Eukaryota, Metazoa, Chordata, Mammalia, Rodentia, Bathyergidae. The record is from Rfam.
GGGAAUGUAGCUCAGUGGCAGAGCAUUUGCCUAGUAUGUGUGAGGCCCUGGGUUUGACACCCAGCACCACCA